RNAcentral lists this ribosomal RNA (432 nucleotides) under uncultured bacterium. RNAcentral's name for it is "partial 16S ribosomal RNA". It matches the Rfam family "Bacterial small subunit ribosomal RNA", at positions 29 to 506 of the family's 1533-position model. The record is from RNAcentral.
AACGAACGCUGGCGGCAUGCCUAACACAUGCAAGUCGAACGAGACCUUCGGGUCUAGUGGCGCACGGGUGCGUAACGCGUGGGAACCUGCCCUUAGGUUCGGAAUAACUCCCCGAAAGGGGUGCUAAUACCGGAUAAUGUCUUCGGACCAAAGAUUUAUCACCUUUGGAUGGGCCCGCGUUGGAUUAGCUAGUUGGUAGGGUAAAAGCCUACCAAGGCGACGAUCCAUAGCUGGUCUGAGAGGAUGAUCAGCCACACUGGGACUGAGACACGGCCCAGACUCCUACGGAAGGAAGCAGUGGGGAAUAUUGGACAAUGGGCGAAAGCCUGAUCCAGCAAUGCCGCGUGAGUGAUGAAGGCCUUAGGGUUGUAAAGCUCUUUUCCCCGGGAUGAUAAUGACAGUAACGGGAGAAUAAGCUCCGGAUAACUCCGU